GACGAACGCUGGCGGCGUGCUUAACACAUGCAAGUCGAACGGUGAAGCGCCUUCCUUUUUGGUGGGUGUGGAUGAGUGGCGAACGGGUGAGUAACACGUGAGUAACCUGCCCCCUUCUUCUGGAUAACCGCAUGAAAGUGUGGCUAAUACGGGAUAUUCUGGGUCUGUCGCAUGAUGGGUCUGGGAAGGAUAUUGUUUCGGUGGGGGGUGGGCUCGCGGCCUAUCAGCUUGUUGGGGGGGUGAUGGCCUACCAAGGCGGUGACGGGUAGCCGGCCUGAGAGGGUGGACGGUCACACUGGGACUGAGACACGGCCCAGACUCCUACGGGAGGCAGCAGUGGGGAAUAUUGCACAAUGGGCGCAAGCCUGAUGCAGCGACGCCGCGUGAGGGAUGGAGGCCUUCGGGUUGUGAACCUCUUUCGCCAGUGAAGCAGGCCUGCCUCGUUUGUGGGUGGGUUGACGGUAGCUGGAGAAGAAGCGCCGGCUAACUACGUG
RNAcentral lists this ribosomal RNA (494 nucleotides) under uncultured bacterium. Its description in RNAcentral is "partial 16S ribosomal RNA". It matches the Rfam family "Bacterial small subunit ribosomal RNA", at positions 28 to 507 of the family's 1533-position model. The record is from RNAcentral.